This 373-nucleotide ribosomal RNA is filed under the name uncultured organism. Its description in RNAcentral is "partial 16S ribosomal RNA". It matches the Rfam family "Bacterial small subunit ribosomal RNA", at positions 527 to 896 of the family's 1533-position model. The record is from RNAcentral.
GUAGGUGGCAAGCGUUGUCCGGAAUUAUUGGGCGUAAAGCGCGCGCAGGCGGUCCUUUAAGUCUGAUGUGAAAGCCCACGGCUCAACCGUGGAGGGUCAUUGGAAACUGGGGGACUUGAGAACAGAAGAGGAAAGCGGAAUUCCAAGUGUAGCGGUGAAAUGCGUAGAGAUUUGGAGGAACACCAGUGGCGAAGGCGGCUUUCUGGUCUGUAACUGACGCUGAGGCGCGAAAGCGUGGGGAGCAAACAGGGAUUAGAUACCCUGGUAGUCCACGCCGUAAACGAUGAGUGCUAAGUGUUAGGGGGGUUUCCCGCCCCUUAGUGCUGCAGCUAACGUAUUAAGCACUCCGCCUGGGGAGUACGGCGCAAGGCUG